UAAACGCUGGCGGCGCACAUAAGACAUGCAAGUCGAACGGACUUAACUCAUUCUUUAGUUUGAGAGCGGUUAGUGGCGGACUGGUGAGUAACACGUAAGCAACCUGCCUAUCAGAGGGGAAUAACAGUGAGAAAUCAUUGCUAAUACCGCAUAUGCUGAUAGUAUCGCAUGAUACAGUCAGAAAAGGAGCAAUCCGCUGAUAGAUGGGCUUGCGUCUGAUUAGCUAGUUGGUGGGGUAACGGCCUACCAAGGCGACGAUCGGUAGCCGAACUGAGAGGUUGAUCGGCCGCAUUGGGACUGAGACACGGCCCAGACUCCUACGGGAGGCAGCAGUGGGGGAUAUUGCACAAUGGGGGAAACCCUGAUGCAGCAACGCCGCGUGAGGGAAGACGGUCUUCGGAUUGUAAACCUCUGUCCUUGGUGAAGAAACAUGACGGUAGCCAUGGAGGAAGCCACGGCUAACUACGUG
RNAcentral lists this ribosomal RNA (469 nucleotides) under uncultured bacterium. RNAcentral describes it as "bacterial SSU rRNA". It matches the Rfam family "Bacterial small subunit ribosomal RNA", at positions 30 to 507 of the family's 1533-position model. The record is from RNAcentral.